CCUACGGGUGGCUGCAGUCGGGAAUUUUGGGCAAUGGGGGCAACCCUGACCCAGCAACGCCGCGUGAGCGAUGAAGGCCUUCGGGUCGUAAAGCUCUGUCGGGAGGGAAGAAGGCUCUCGGGGUGAAUAAUCCCGGGGGAUUGACGGUACCUCCAAAGGAAGCGCCGGCUAACUCCGUGCCAGCAGCCGCGGUAAUACGGAGGUCGCAAGCGUUGUUCGGAGUCACGGGGCGUAGGGCGCGUGUAGGCGAAAGCCCGGGGCCUAACCCCGGAACUGCACUCGAAACGGCCUCGCGAGAGUCGCGGAGAGGGUGGUGGAAUUCCCUGUGUAGUGGUGAAAUACGUAGAUAUCGGGAGGAACACCAGCGGCGAAGGCGGCCACCUGGACGAUGACUGACGCUGAGACGCGAAAGCGUGGGGAGCAAACAGGAUUAGAUACCCCGGUAGUC
This 448-nucleotide ribosomal RNA is filed under the name uncultured bacterium. Its description in RNAcentral is "partial 16S ribosomal RNA". It matches the Rfam family "Bacterial small subunit ribosomal RNA", at positions 338 to 795 of the family's 1533-position model. The record is from RNAcentral.